GAGUUGGUAGCUCAUUGGUAGAGUGCAUGUGUUGUAUGUAUGAUGUCCUGGGUUCAAUCCCCAGCUUCUCG
This 71-nucleotide transfer RNA is filed under the name Dallia pectoralis (Alaska blackfish). RNAcentral's name for it is "tRNA-OTHER". It matches the Rfam family "tRNA". Rfam says of the family: Transfer RNA (tRNA) molecules are approximately 80 nucleotides in length. Their secondary structure includes four short double-helical elements and three loops (D, anti-codon, and T loops). Lineage: Eukaryota; Metazoa; Chordata; Actinopteri; Esociformes; Umbridae. The record is from RNAcentral.